Paramuricea clavata is the source of this 417-nucleotide non-coding RNA. Lineage: Eukaryota; Metazoa; Cnidaria; Anthozoa; Malacalcyonacea; Plexauridae. The record is from the annotation of a GenBank genome assembly.
GUUCAAACAGACUGAGUAGAUUAUUUCUCGGUUAGAGCAGGAUGAAUAUUCUUUAUUGAAGGAAAUAAUAUUGCUUUUUGCAAAUACACAUCACCGUAUCAACGCUACUAUUUUGUUACGUUUUGUUCCAAAAAUGUUGCAUGUCUCUGGGGAGUUGCUUAAUUGUUAUGUCUUAUGGAGUUGUAUGGUUUGAUUGUGUUUCCAUAUAAUUCUCAGUUUACUCCAUGAACUUGCCAAGAUUAAGAAACGGCAAAAGAGUUUGGGUGUUCUUAACAAGAUUUCAGAACGUUGCAGAAGUUAGAAGAGCUUCACAAUUCCGUUGUGACAGCAUGCCCUAAUUCAGAACUACGAACGAUCCAAUGACGAUCCUUCGCGAUGCAGUGGUCUCAUGAAAUAAGGAAACGUAUUCGUGCUAGG